This 254-nucleotide unclassified non-coding RNA is filed under the name uncultured Chaetomiaceae. RNAcentral describes it as "sequence contains ITS2". The record is from RNAcentral. Lineage: Eukaryota; Fungi; Ascomycota; Sordariomycetes; Sordariales.
AACGCACAUUGCGCCCGCCAGCAUCCUGGCGGGCAUGCCUGUUCGAGCGUCAUUUCGACCAUCAAGCCGGAGGCUUGUGUUGGGGACCUGCGGCUGGCCGCAGGCCCUGAAAACCAGUGGCGGGGCCCGCUGGCACUCCGAGCGCAGUAUUCACCUGCCUCGCUCAGGGCGUGCCGCGGGUUUGUUCCCAGCCGUCAAACCGCAAUAUUCGCAAGGUUGACCUCGGAUCAGGUAGGAGGACCCGCUGAACUUAA